RNAcentral lists this transfer RNA (72 nucleotides) under Camelus bactrianus (Bactrian camel). It matches the Rfam family "tRNA". Rfam says of the family: Transfer RNA (tRNA) molecules are approximately 80 nucleotides in length. Their secondary structure includes four short double-helical elements and three loops (D, anti-codon, and T loops). Further hydrogen bonds mediate the characteristic L-shaped molecular structure. tRNAs have two regions of fundamental functional importance: the anti-codon, which is responsible for specific mRNA codon recognition, and the 3' end, to which the tRNAs corresponding amino acid is attached (by aminoacyl-tRNA synthetases). tRNAs cope with the degeneracy of the genetic code in two manners: having more than one tRNA (with a specific anti-codon) for a particular amino acid; and 'wobble' base-pairing, i.e. permitting non-standard base-pairing at the 3rd anti-codon position. RNAcentral also lists the same sequence under 2 other names. The record is from Rfam by way of RNAcentral. Lineage: Eukaryota; Metazoa; Chordata; Mammalia; Artiodactyla; Camelidae.
GAGGGUAUAGCUCAAUGGUAGAGUGUGUGCUUAGCAUGCACAAGGUCCUGGCUUUGAUCCCCAGUACCUCCA